AGUGAACGCUGGCGGUAGGCCUAACACAUGCAAGUCGAACGGCAGCACAGUAAGAGCUUGCUCUUACGGGUGGCGAGUGGCGGACGGGUGAGGAAUACAUCGGAAUUUACUUUUUCGUGGGGGAUAACGUAGGGAAACUUACGCUAAUACCGCAUACGACCUACGGGUGAAAGCAGGGGAUCUUCGGACCUUGCGCGAUUGAAUGAGACGAUGUCGGAUUAGCUAGUUGGCGGGGUAAAGGCCCACCAAGGCGACGAUCCGUAGCUGGUCUGAGAGGAUGAUCAGCCACACUGGAACUGAGACACGGUCCAGACUCCUACGGGAGGCAGCAGUGGGGAAUAUUGGACAAUGGGCGCAAGCCUGAUCCAGCCAUACCGCGUGGGUGAAGAAGGCCUUCGGGUUGUAAAGCCCUUUUGUUGGGAAAGAAAAGCAGCAGGUUAAUACCCCGCUGUUCUGACGGUACCCAAAGAAUAAGCACCGGCUAACUUCGUG
Molecule: ribosomal RNA, 492 nt
Filed under: uncultured bacterium
Lineage: Bacteria
Description: partial 16S ribosomal RNA
Rfam family: Bacterial small subunit ribosomal RNA
Source: RNAcentral